AUCUGCUUAGGGUCAACCAUUCUCAGGAAGGUUAGUUUUAACAUCUGCUUUAGGUCAACCAUGCUCAGGAAGGUUAGUUUUAACAUCUGCUUAGGGUCAACCAUGCUCAGGAAGGGUAGUUUUAAACAUCUGCUUAGGGCAACCAUGCUCAGGAGAAUUAGUUUAAACAUCUGCUUUAGGGUCAACCAUGCUCAGGAAGGUUAGUUUUAACAUCUGCUUAGGGUCAACCAUGCUCAGGAAGGUUAGUUUAAACAUCUGCUUAGGGUCAACCAUGCUCAGGAAGGUUAGUUUAAACAUCUGCUUUAGGGUCAACCAUGCUCAGGAAGGUUAGUUUAAACAUCUGCUUUAAGGGUCAACCAUGCUCAGGAAGGUUAGUUUAACAUCUCCUUUAGGGUCAACCAUGCUCAGGAAGGUUAGUUUAAACAUCUGCUUUAGGGUCAACCAUGCUCAGGAUGGUCGGGGCAUGGUACUUACCCUUUCUGUUGCACAUAAUAUAUUGCACAUAAUAUAUCACACACCUCUUAGAAACAAUCCCCUUCUCACACGCGUAUUUGCAAACAUACUAUACACCACAGCAGGUAAAGUACCCCAAAGUUAUCUUGUUACGAGAAUGGAGUUACUGUGUUGCUGACGCAGAGUAUUUACUUCUGGUGGUAGUCACAGGGGAAAACAUUGCUGACUGAGGAAUUCCGGUGUUUGUUUAUUUGGGAAGUGAAUGUGUGACUGUAAAUGUGACAUUUGUUAUGUAAAGACUGAAAUAAGAACAAAGCAGAAUAGAUACAUAUAAACUAAUAUUAUA
Salvelinus sp. IW2-2015 is the source of this 799-nucleotide non-coding RNA. The record is from RefSeq and is a predicted model, not a curated record. Lineage: Eukaryota; Metazoa; Chordata; Actinopteri; Salmoniformes; Salmonidae.